Molecule: long non-coding RNA, 569 nt
Filed under: Salvia miltiorrhiza (redroot sage)
Lineage: Eukaryota; Viridiplantae; Streptophyta; Magnoliopsida; Lamiales; Lamiaceae
Description: long non-coding RNA (SMIL_LNC000666)
Source: RNAcentral
UAUAUCAUUUCGCGAAGUAGACGCUUGCUCCUCAUGCUCGGUCUUCCUUGCACAAGUAACUGUCGAAUAUUUAUUCGCACCAAGUGUUCUUCUUGGGGCCCUGCUGCUCAGUAGACCUUGUGAGAUCGCUGGUGUUGAAUGGUAGUACUUUCUACCACAACCACAUCCAGCUGAAAUUUUUCCCAGAAAAAGGGUAAAAUCAAAAGCAACAACAUCCAGCAUUAUUUUACAUAAAAAUGCAUGCAUAAGAUUAAACCUGAGAAAAGGGGGCGAGAGCGGCGAAGAAUAAAUCUACUGGCGACAUUCUUAGGGCAAUUGGCUGAGGAAGAUUUAAGCAGAUUGGAAUCGAAAUUGAAAUGGACUUGGAUUGAUUUGGUGUGCAUUGUGGAAGCCAAUUUCAUGGCUUCAGAAAUUUGUUUUUGUUCACCCAGCGCCCGCGCACAUCACUCUCAACGGUUGCUGAGUUCCAGCGCUCGCUGGCUUCUUGGCCGCGGGCGCUGGAACUCAGCGCUCGCUUAAAACUUCAUGGAUUUCAAUUCUCGUGGUUCUUGGCCGGAUUUCGUUGUGUG